AGAGUUUGAUCCUGGCUCAGGAUGAACGCUGGCGGCGUGCCUAACACAUGCAAGUCGAGCGAAGCACUUUGUUAGAACUUUUCGGAGGGACGAGGAAGUGACUGAGCGGCGGACGGGUGAGUAACGCGUGGGCAACCUGCCUUACACAGGGGGAUAACAGUUAGAAAUGACUGCUAAUACCGCAUAAGACCACAUUGCCGCAUGGCAGGGUGGUAAAAACUCCGGUGGUGUAAGAUGGGCCCGCGUCUGAUUAGGUAGUUGGCAGGGUAGAGGCCUACCAAGCCUACGAUCAGUAGCCGGCCUGAGAGGGUGGACGGCCACCUUGGGACUGAGACACGGCCCAAACUCCUACGGGAGGCAGCAGUGAGGAAUAUUGCACAAUGGGGGAAACCCUGAUGCAGCGACGCCGCGUGAGUGAGGAAGUAUUUCGGUAUGUAAAGCUCUAUCAGCAGGGAAGAAAAUGACGGUACCUGACUAAGAAGCCCCGGCUAACUACGUGCCAGCAGCCGCGGUAAUACGUAGGGGGCAAGCGUUAUCCGGAUUUACUGGGUGUAAAGGGAGCGCAGGCGGCGUGGCAAGUCAGAUGUGAAAACCCGGGGCCCAACCCCGGGAGUGCAUUUGAAACUGCCAUGCUGGAGUGCCGGAGAGGUAAGCGGAAUUCCUAGUGUAGCGGUGAAAUGCGUAGAUAUUAGGAGGAACACCAGUGGCGGAGGCGGCUUACUGGACGGUAACUGACGCUGAGGCUCGAAAGCGUGGGGAGCAAACAGGAUUAGAUACCCUGGUAGUCCACGCCGUAAACGAGGAAUACUGGGUACAGGGGGCACAAAAAAGAGCUUUUGUGCCGCAGCUAACGCAAUAAGUAUUCCACCUGGGGAGUACGUUCGCAAGAAAGAAACUCAAAGGAAUUGACGGGGACCCGCACAAGCGGUGGAGCAUGUGGUUUAAUUUGAAGCAACGCGAAGAACCUUACCAAGUCUUGACAUCCCGGUGACGCAGGCAGAAAUGUCUGUUCUUUUCGGAGCACCGGAGACAGGUGGUGCAUGGUUGUCGUCAGCUCGUGUCGUGAGAUGUUGGGUUAAGUCCCGCAUCGAGCGCAACCCUUAUUCUUAGUAGCCAGCAGGUAAAGCUGGGCACUCUAAGGAGACUGCCAGGGAUAACCUGGAGGAAGGUGGGGAUGACGUCAAAUCAUUAUGCCCCUUAUGAUUUGGGCUACACACGUGCUACAAUGGCGUAAACAAAGGGAGGGGAAGCCGCGAGGCCGAGCGAACCUCAAAAAUAACGUCUCAGUUCGGAUUGCAGGCUGCAACCCGCCUGCAUGAAGCCGGAAUCGCUAGUAAUCGCGGAUCAGAAUGCCGCGGUGAAUACGUUCCCGGGUCUUGCACACACCGCCCGUCA
This 1395-nucleotide ribosomal RNA is filed under the name uncultured bacterium. RNAcentral's name for it is "bacterial SSU rRNA". It matches the Rfam family "Bacterial small subunit ribosomal RNA". The record is from RNAcentral.